UCGAAACCUGCACAGCAGAACGACCCGCGAAUUGGUUACAACCGACGGGGGGCGGGGGGUGCUCGUCGCCCCCUCGCCCCCCCUGCGGGCGGGGAGACCUGCCCGYAAACYGAACCCCGGCGCGGAACGCGCCAAGGAAAUCGAACCAAGAGAGCCACGYUGGAGGCCCCGGACACGGUGUGCCCCCGRCGUCGGCGCUUUACGAAUUAUUC
This 212-nucleotide unclassified non-coding RNA is filed under the name Roldana candicans. RNAcentral's name for it is "Quercus candicans partial internal transcrobed spacer 1". The record is from RNAcentral. Lineage: Eukaryota; Viridiplantae; Streptophyta; Magnoliopsida; Asterales; Asteraceae.